AGACUCUUUCAGUACAUAUGGCCUCCUACACAAAGAUGAUCCUUGGGCCAGCAGCAUGGCUGUCACCUAGGGAUUUGUAAACGCAGACUCCUGGUUUGAAUUCAACUGAAUCAAAAAGAUUCAAAAGCUGGUGAAGUCUUGCUACCCAGGGGCUGGCGAGUCCUUAAAAGGAUUUAGCAGAUCUACACCACGACUUCCACACUUCUCCAGGGACAAUUCAAAAUUCACAACAUUUCCUCAAAGGAACGUGUUCACCUGGAAUUUAGGAGUCACAGGUACCACUCUGGGUACAGAAAAGGAGGAGCAUCUUGCAAUUUGCACAUCACAUGAAUCUGCAUCUCCAUCUAUCCAUCUAUCUGAAAACAUCAUAAGGAAAAAGAGGCGGAUCAGACCAACUAUAGCUUGGUCUGUGCUAUAGUUUGUGGCCCAGAGUUCAUCUCUUCUCAAUCCUCUUCAACUUUAUGUGAAUAGGAACUUUGAACCCUGUAGGACGCUACUUGGUAUAUCUAGGAAAUACAGCUAUUCAGGUUACAAUUU
RNAcentral lists this long non-coding RNA (537 nucleotides) under Mus caroli (Ryukyu mouse). RNAcentral describes it as "RIKEN cDNA 1700071M16 gene (MGP_CAROLIEiJ_G0003027.1)". The record is from RNAcentral. Lineage: Eukaryota; Metazoa; Chordata; Mammalia; Rodentia; Muridae.